This is a long non-coding RNA of Hippoglossus stenolepis (Pacific halibut), 406 nucleotides long. RefSeq lists it as uncharacterized. NCBI's taxonomy places the organism in Eukaryota, Metazoa, Chordata, Actinopteri, Pleuronectiformes, Pleuronectidae. The transcript has 3 exons. The record is from RefSeq and is a predicted model, not a curated record.
ACAAGACUCCCUGCAGCACCGGGCGCACUGAAGGACGCGCAACGCCACUUCCUCGUUGUCGCUGCGUGAUGGCGUCACGCGCGAUUGACAGCACACGCCAGGUGAUGACGCACGGGGGUUCAUUAGCGAAGUGAUGGAGAAACGACAAACCACAGUGACGGAGAAUAGCCCCACUGGUUGCCAUGGUGCCCAGCACAAAUCCAUCUCAGUUUGUGUGCCUGUGCAGACUGAAGGGAAUUAAAAACACAAGCACUCUGAUGCAGGGGAGAAGCGUGUGAUGGCAUCCAACACGAUCAUCAAAAAAGGAGCACCAGCCCAAAGUCAUCGUCUGCAAGCAGGGUCCCAACCCCCUUACCACACUCAGCGACCAGCAGCUGGAGGAAUACCGCAGGGACAUGGAGCAGAA